This is a long non-coding RNA of Alligator sinensis (Chinese alligator), 739 nucleotides long. RefSeq lists it as uncharacterized. The transcript has 3 exons. The record is from RefSeq and is a predicted model, not a curated record. NCBI's taxonomy places the organism in Eukaryota, Metazoa, Chordata, Crocodylia, Alligatoridae.
GCCAGAGACAAGAAGAAUGGAACGGGAAAGAGAGUGAGAGUAUCCUGCCUGACCAAUGGCUAUAAUACUAGACCAGGGACUUCCAGGAUCUGGGAAGACACUCAAGUGCUGCAAGAUUGGGAGCAGCAUCAUGGAAGGUAGCCGAGUUGCAGACAGCCUGAGAGGAUAGACUGCAGCCAAGAAGGAGCAGCACUACCUUGUCAAGGGAUGAAGAAGACUCAGACCUAAUUCCUUUUUCCCAGCCUGAACAAAGAAUCACUGAAGUACAGAAAGAGAAGCACACAUGCCAUCAAUAGUACUACUGCUGCAUCAAGGCACGGACUUCAAUCAACAGUAAAUUUUUCACAUGGCAGGAAUUCGAACUGGUCAGUCCGGUUAGCUGGUUGUACUUUGCACAUCAUUAACUUUAAAUGUCAAGUGAACUACAGAACCCAACUAUGGAAGACCUGUACCAGAAGCUAGCCCACCCACAGAAGUUUUUCACAAAACAUAGCACCAGUUUAGGAAAGGGAACAGUGAGAAACUCCCUGCUACACAGCCACCAAAGCUAACUAGCAUGCACAGAGCAAACCAUCUACCCACAAAACUCCAGGAGUCAGAUAGCCCAAUUGUCCCACUAUAGUAGCACAGUACCUGAUAAGAUUCUUCACCCAUGUACCCCAGCCACUGACUCAUCCUGAGCCAAGUGGUACAAAUGAGCCAAGCAAAAGAGAAUUAUUUUGUUUUUUAAGUUUUCUUG